This 398-nucleotide ribosomal RNA is filed under the name uncultured bacterium. RNAcentral describes it as "partial 16S ribosomal RNA". It matches the Rfam family "Bacterial small subunit ribosomal RNA", at positions 523 to 918 of the family's 1533-position model. The record is from RNAcentral.
AUACGUAGGGUGCGAGCGUUGUCCGGAAUUACUGGGCGUAAAGAGCUCGUAGGUGGUUUGUCGCGUCGUCUGUGAAAUUCCGGGGCUUAACUCCGGGCGUGCAGGCGAUACGGGCAUAACUUGAGUACUGUAGGGGAGACUGGAAUUCCUGGUGUAGCGGUGAAAUGCGCAGAUAUCAGGAGGAACACCGGUGGCGAAGGCGGGUCUCUGGGCAGUAACUGACGCUGAGGAGCGAAAGCAUGGGUAGCGAACAGGAUUAGAUACCCUGGUAGUCCAUGCCGUAAACGGUGGGCGCUAGGUGUAGGGGUCUUCCACGACUUCUGUGCCGUAGCUAACGCAUUAAGCGCCCCGCCUGGGUAGUACGGCCGCAAGGCUAAAACUUAAAGGAAUUGACGGGG